GAUGAACGCUGGCGGCGUGCCUAAUACAUGCAAGUCGAGCGAACAGACGAGGAGCUUGCUCCUCUGACGUUAGCGGCGGACGGGUGAGUAACACGUGGAUAACCUACCUAUAAGACUGGGAUAACUUCGGGAAACCGGAGCUAAUACCGGAUAAUAUAUUGAACCGCAUGGUUCAAUAGUGAAAGACGGUUUUGCUGUCACUUAUAGAUGGAUCCGCGCCGCAUUAGCUAGUUGGUAAGGUAACGGCUUACCAAGGCAACGAUGCGUAGCCGGCCUGAGAGGGUGAUCGGCCACACUGGAACUGAGACACGGUCCAGACUCCUACGGGAGGCAGCAGUAGGGAAUCUUCCGCAAUGGGCGAAAGCCUGACGGAGCAACGCCGCGUGAGUGAUGAAGGUCUUCGGAUCGUAAAACUCUGUUAUUAGGGAAGAACAAAUGUGUAAGUAACUAUGCACGUCUUGGCGGUACCUAAUCAGAAAGCCACGGCUAACUACGUG
This 497-nucleotide ribosomal RNA is filed under the name uncultured bacterium. Its description in RNAcentral is "partial 16S ribosomal RNA". It matches the Rfam family "Bacterial small subunit ribosomal RNA", at positions 28 to 507 of the family's 1533-position model. The record is from RNAcentral.